AAUAGAUACCCGGGUAGUCCCAGCCGUAAACGAUGCUCGCUAGGUGUCAGGCAUGGCGCGACCGUGUCUGGUGCCGCAGGGAAGCCGUGAAGCGAGCCACCUGGGAAGUACGGCCGCAAGGCUGAAACUUAAAGGAAUUGGCGGGGGAGCACAACAACGGGUGGAGCCUGCGGUUUAAUUGGACUCAACGCCGGACAACUCACCGGGGGCGACAGCAAUAUGUAGGCCAAGCUGAAGACUUUGCCUGAAUCGCUGAGAGGAGGUGCAUGGCCGUCGCCAGUUCGUACUGUGAAGCAUCCUGUUAAGUCAGGCAACGAGCGAGACCCGUGCCCACUGUUACCAGCAUGUCCUCCGGGACGAUGGGUACUCUGUGGGGACCGCCGAUGUUAAAUCGGAGGAAGGUGCGGGCCACGGUAGGUCAGUAUGCCCCGAAUCUCCCGGGCUACACGCGGGCUACAAUGGAUGGGACAAUGGGUCCCUCCCCUGAAAAGGGCUGGUAAUCUCACAAACCCAUUCGUAGUUCGGAUCGAGGGCUGUAACUCCG
This 544-nucleotide ribosomal RNA is filed under the name uncultured bacterium. RNAcentral's name for it is "bacterial SSU rRNA". It matches the Rfam family "Archaeal small subunit ribosomal RNA", at positions 728 to 1270 of the family's 1478-position model. The record is from RNAcentral.